CUGGUCCCUGCGAAAUUCGGGAUUAAAUUGGGAGAGACCGCUUGAGGGAAAUGGAUUCUGUACCCUCGCUGGCUAGCGUUUUGACUUUACUAUUCUCCGUCUUGUGGCAUAUAGGAUCUACAGCUACAAACUAAAGUGCUAAAGCAGAGGAUGGAAACUUUUCAAAGUGGAGUACCUAGUAACUGAUCACUGUUCUUCUCAUGUCUGGGAAGGUUAUCUGCGAGAAAUAGGUAAGAAUACUGAAAAGUACC
RNAcentral lists this long non-coding RNA (251 nucleotides) under Phascolarctos cinereus (koala). RNAcentral's name for it is "lncRNA (ENSPCIG00000020012.2)". The record is from RNAcentral. Lineage: Eukaryota; Metazoa; Chordata; Mammalia; Diprotodontia; Phascolarctidae.